Molecule: microRNA precursor, 106 nt
Filed under: Pelobates cultripes (western spadefoot toad)
Lineage: Eukaryota; Metazoa; Chordata; Amphibia; Anura; Pelobatidae
Source: RNAcentral
CAGACCCAACCUCCCAGACCCUCCCACCUCCUGGACAGCUCACUAAGAAUGCAGCUUCACAAUGGAUGCUGUCCAGGAGGUGGGAGGGUCUGGGAGGGAGGGUCUG